This 464-nucleotide ribosomal RNA is filed under the name Lachnospiraceae bacterium canine oral taxon 073. RNAcentral describes it as "bacterial SSU rRNA". It matches the Rfam family "Bacterial small subunit ribosomal RNA", at positions 9 to 456 of the family's 1533-position model. Lineage: Bacteria; Bacillati; Bacillota; Clostridia; Lachnospirales; Lachnospiraceae. The record is from RNAcentral.
GAGUUUGAUCAUGGCUCAGGAUGAACGCUGGCGGCAUGCCUAACACAUGCAAGUUGAACGAGAAGUUUUGGAGGGAGUCUUCGGACAAGCGAAGGAAUGGAAAGUAGCGAACGGGUGAGUAACGCGUGGGCAACCAACCUUACACAGGGGGAUAACGCAGAGAAAUUUGCGCUAAUACCGCAUAAGCGCACAGUACCGCAUGGUACCGUGUGAAAAACUCCGGUGGUGUAAGACGGGCCCGCGUCUGAUUAGUUAGUUGGUGAGGUAAAAGCUCACCAAGGCGACGAUCAGUAGCCGACCUGAGAGGGUGAUCGGCCACAUUGGGACUGAGACACGGCCCAAACUCCUACGGGAGGCAGCAGUGGGGGAUAUUGCACAAUGGAGGGAACUCUGAUGCAGCAAUGCCGCGUGAAGGAAGACGGUUUUCGGAUUGUAAACUUCUAUCAGCAGGGAAGAAAAUGACG